This is a long non-coding RNA of Bubalus bubalis (water buffalo), 879 nucleotides long. RefSeq lists it as uncharacterized. NCBI's taxonomy places the organism in Eukaryota, Metazoa, Chordata, Mammalia, Artiodactyla, Bovidae. The transcript has 2 exons. The record is from RefSeq and is a predicted model, not a curated record.
GACAACAGGCUGUGGGACUAGGAAUCGGGUUUUAAACAAACAAAACUCACCAGAACACUCGGUCGCUCAUUUAAACUCAAUUCCGGGUCUGCAGGAUACUGCGCACGCGCGGGAGGAAGAUCCGGUACAGAGGAAGGAGGCAAAUGUCGGUCCACAGAUUGGAUUCUCAUGCACGUGACUCUAGCCAAACUCUUAGUUGUUCAUUUGAAAGGAAUUCCUGAAACACUGGCAGCUUUGGAUGCACACUUGCUUUUUCCGUUCCAAGAGUUGGCAGAGAUGUGUCCAUUGGCACCAUCUUCCUCUUGAGUGCCUUUCAGGUGAUCAUCAUUCCCAGUGACUCCAGGUGGGCAGAGCUUAAGAGAAAAGCUCCCAAAUAUGUGGGCACCUUCAGUAUCCUCUGCUGGAUCUUCAGCAUGAUUCUCAGUAUUUUGGUUCCAUUUUAAAUGACUGCCAAGUGGAAGGACACAAUCAACACAGAGAAUAUAGAUCAUGGCUAGUGUUAUUUCUGGCGUGCUGCCCCAAGGCCACAGAUGUAAAGCCUUGCACCGAGAACACAGAAGAGGAGCUCAGAGUCAAGGACACUUUCAAAGCUGACUAUCCUCCUCUGUAACCAUUUUAAAAGCCCACUGAUAGUCAUACCAGGCUUCCAAACUCCCAGUGGGGCAAAGAUGCCCACUCCAGUAAGCACCCUAUAGUGCCCCAACCAAUCACCUAACAUCAACCAUCCAGCAGCAAUUUUGCUUUGAGGCUGUAAAAAUUGGCUAUUAGCUCAUGGAAACUGUCGGCAUCCCCUGGUCUGUGCAGAUGUGGGCCCAUUGCACUCGCACUGCCUGCUUUAUCUCUGCCCUUUGUUUUUAAGAAACUCACUCCUUUCUGAAA